Molecule: long non-coding RNA, 738 nt
Organism: Lutra lutra (Eurasian river otter)
Lineage: Eukaryota; Metazoa; Chordata; Mammalia; Carnivora; Mustelidae
Exons: 3
Source: RefSeq, a predicted model, not a curated record
CCCGGAUUUUCGCGCCUGCUGCCAUCUUGAGGAGGGGAAAGGCCGGAGCAAGCCUAGGUUGGAGAUCUCAGUUCAUGGAACUAUAAGGUCCUCUGGUAGUUUAAGAAAAUGCUCUGCUUACCAUUAAGGCAUAGCAAGAAUCAGGAAGAAUGAAGAUACAAUGUAAAGAAGGUGGAAGAUAUCACCAACGACCAACAGCAACGAUGUCACAGGAGGAUGAAUUAGGACACUCAUCUAGAACUUUGUGCUAUAGGGGUGGGGGCUACAAUAAAGUGAAAGCAACUAGCGGCCAAGAUGGUCCUGCCCAUGUUGCCUUUCUAACCAUCUCCCCCAGUCCUCUUAGAACUCACAGAGGACACGUAGGCAUCUGUAGUCACAGGGAGUAACUGAUUCUCUGAUCCUAUUGAUCAUCAACAUUUACCUUUAUCAUGAAUAAGAAAAGACCAAAGAAAAAGCCAAUUUCAGACUUUAAGAGGCUGCAAGAAUACAGUGUAUGUCGAUAAGAAAUGCCUUUUUUCAUACUCACAAAUUUAGAUCUGCAAUUAAUAGCCUGAUAGUUGGUGAAAUUCUUGUCUUUCUCUAUGGAAUGCCCAGACUCUGAACUAUUUAAAAUAUUCAAGCAUUUGAAAUCUAUACUCACAUGAGAUUUCACUCAGAAUAGGCCUUUAUGAAUAUUCAUGUUGAAGUAUUUAGCCUCAGGGUGUGAAAUAUUAAUCUCUUACCUGAGUUUUACAUCUA